This 14038-nucleotide long non-coding RNA is filed under the name Lactuca sativa (garden lettuce). RNAcentral's name for it is "long non-coding RNA (LSAT_LNC003380)". The record is from RNAcentral. Lineage: Eukaryota; Viridiplantae; Streptophyta; Magnoliopsida; Asterales; Asteraceae.
ACGUGGGUAUCAUAUUCUCAUUUGAUCAUCUAUCCCAUAUACAUGAGCACAUUCAAUCUCUGACCUACCAUAUAUAACAUAUUAGCACAGGAUUUGAUAAUGGGAAAGAGAUGUAUAUUAAUUAUUAAUUCAAAACUAGAAUUGAAUCGAAUAUACCAUGACUGCAAUAUCAUGUAAAGAAAUGAUGCAUUCUGAUUUAUAUAUAAGGUUACAGACACGGGAAGAGGCAGGACAUGCAAAAUUCUGCUCUAAUUGAACUUUUUGUGAAAGAUUUCCUAUUGCAGGUCCACUAGUCUGAUUCUCUUCAUACUCUCAUAAGCUCCAUCGAUUGUAACCCCACUAUCAUUUUCAAGUUUCAACCAUUACCCUCCAAUUAAGUUCAAAUGUGUAUAAACUAUAAAAGGCGUUGAAAGAUUCUCACAUCCACAUAUUCACCCUACACCUAUCACCAUAUAUUUGGAGACUGCAUCUGAUUGUGCACCUGCUUGUAAUUUUCUUUUCUUCUGAUUUUCAUUCGUAUGUAUUCUGCACCCUGUAGUUUACCAGCUAGCUUCCAAUCUUUUUGUUUUUAUAAAUCUACGGUUCUAGAAAAAAGUUGUAGAGAGAAUGAAGAGCAACUUACCAAGUAAAUAAAGAUCCAGUAGAAAAAAAUUGAUUUAUCAAUCCCCCUCUAUUCUUUCCAAAUGUGUAUAGACUUUGAAUGAUAUGGGAAAGGAAGCAGCAACCAUUUGAUCAAGGGGAGGUUUUUUGAUUGCGUUGGAGGAACGAUUUCUGUUUACGUAAGUUGAAUAAAUAUAAACUAGUUAACGAUUUAUUUUAGGUUUAAAACACAAACAGGUAAUAAGCCGAUUUAAAUGAAAGAAAAUUUACAAAAAAUAACGACUAUAAAGAACAAUUAGAAAAAGAAUUAAAAACACAGUUUCUUAAAUUUUUUUAUUUAAAAUCAUUUUUUUAAAUAAUGUAAAACUAUAUUGCAAAAAUAAGGUGNGCAGCGAGUUGAGGUUGACGUUUGACAGAAAAUCAUCAUUAGUUCCAAUCCGGUGCCGAACUUGCUAUAGCCCAUCACACAGUAAGCAAUUUCGAUUAAAAUCAUCGUCGGGGUAGGUGGCGGGGGGAUAUUUCUGAUGGUUUCUUUGAGGACGAGCUCAUGAAGUCAAGGUGGAUAGAUGAUGAGGGUUGGUUUAGGGUACGCCAAAAUACAGUGUAUUUGAAGCCAACAUCGGGAAGGGUCAUUGAAACGUAAUAAUCAGCCGUAAGUUCUNAAGUUCUCAUGUUCUUGUUCAGCGUACGCUAGAAUAAAAUAAAUUCCAGGAGAAAUUGAGAUGAUAAGAACAUCAUCCUCGUCAUUACAGCCAGAUCGACCGAUUGAGAGGGAGGUAAAAGGUAGGAGAUGGCGAUUUCCAUCUACUAACACCUCAUAGGUUUGAAGCGUGUAGUGGAACUUAGGUUUAAUUUUAAGGUAUGAGUUAUUCCCGUUUGUAUUGAACUUAGGUUUGAAGCGUGUAGUGGAAAUAAAUAUAUGUUUCGUGUUCAUUUGAGGGACAUGGUUUUCUUUUUAACCAUUUGUAGAUAAUUUAUGUGGUUGCAAGCUCCGAUCUAUCACCCACUUGAUCCUAGACACGACUACAUAACUGUCCAGGUUUAACCACAGCGUACAACACCCAUUUACUUAUGUUUUGUUCUACUUGUAGUUACGGAUUUUGACGGUUAGGUAUACUUGUAUACUUUCGAAAAUACUUAUAUUUUAAGGUAUACUUUUAGUUCAGAGCACUUAGGCCCCUUAGUUUUUAUAGUCUUAUACCAUGUAAGGUUUGGUAUACUAGUUCACUAUAAACAAGGGCUCUGAUACCAAUCUGUCACACCCCGAAAUCUAAGGCGGAAACGUUCCGGGGCGGAGGACAUCAUGUAUAUCGCAACCAAUGUACGUAGUAAGCAUAGUAAACACAAAACAAUACAUUACAUAGAGUUAUUACAUUUGUUUGAAAUCAAAGUGUUACAAGUGUCAUACAUAUAUAUCAUAUGAACAAAAGUUAAGACGAGUCUGAUAAGCGCUCCGUCUCCAAAAGAACGCGAGUACCUGUCUAAUAUGGACCUGAGAAUACAAGCAGUUUGAAAAUCAGCAUAAAGCUGGUGAGUUCAUAAGAGGUUUGUUUUUUGAAAAUGUACAAGUUUCCUUUGUUUUUCCGAAAAGUUUGUUAUCCAAGAAAAUCCCAUAUUUUCUUAUAAGUAUAGUUGAGUUAUCCGUUUAUUAUACAAUCCGGUUAUGUACGGUUUGUUAUCUCAGGAAAAGCCCUUAUUUUCCUAAAAGUAAAGUUCAGUUAUUGAAUCCAAAUGGAAUGUACAAGUAUCUAACAUACUUGUUGUAUUAGCUAGGUAUUCUGAUGUCCUAGUUAUCCUACACUCGAAUGUAUCCAAAGGCGUGCUUUCGUAUUCGUAUUCGUAUUCGUAUUUAUAUUCGUAUUCGUAUUCAUAUUCAUAUUCGUAUUCGUAUUCGUAUUCAUAUUCAUAUUCGUAUUCGUAUUCGUAUUCAUAUUCGUAUUCCUAUUCCUAUUCCUAUUUCUAUUUGUAUUCGUAUUCGUAUUCGUAUUCGUAUUCGUAUUCGUAUUCGUAUUCGUAUUCGUAUUUGUAUUCGUAUUAUUCCUAGCUGUAAUUUCGUGAUAUUAUCUGUUCCUAACUGUACUUUCGUAUUCGCUCUGUUUCUAACUGUGUGUUACUAUCCCUUCACUCUCGUAUCUACGGGGAGUGGUAAAGUUCUAAGUUUAAUGUUAUUAGUCCUGCACUCUCGUAUCUACGGGAAGUGAUAAAGUUCUUAGUUUAAUGUUAUUAUUCCUUCACUCUCGUAUCUACGCGGAGUUAUAUCAAGAACAUUUUAAUGCUUUAAGAUUCAUGCUUUUAACAACAAUUAUAUGGAAAUUCAUUUGUGAAAUAUAAAAUAUAACAUUUUAAAAACGAGCUUCACAAAUAACAUGACGGUUUACUCUACAAGUUGAACGAUUGGUUAAUACAGUUUUCCGUGUUAAAAGCAUACGAAAUAUGAAAUAGAUCAAAUAAAAUCAUAAGUUUGAGUACAAGAUUUCCUUGUACUNCUUUUGCUUGUAUUCCCCCCCCCCCACCUGAAAACAUUGAAAAACAUUGAAAAAGGGUAGGGGUAUGAAGAGAUACAUAAAAUGUAUCUAAUUAGGCCUUGAUAUACUACUUUAAAAUGAAUAAACAUUCCGAGGUGCAAAAACACUUCAAUUCAAGUGUUUGGAGUGACCCGGGUGGCAUCUAAGGGUGUGUAGGGCCUAAUUAUGGAGUUUACUUUUCAAGAAUAAGCCCUUAAGGGAGUUUACGGUCCAAUGCUCAUAUCCCCAUGAGUUUAUGGCCGUAAACUUAUGGGUGGUGUGCGAAUGGUCUUACAAUGCACACGGGAAGGUCCUAGGGUUGAUUCCAUGGCUUAGGAAGUGAACGGGACUUGAAAUUACCUUGGAUAAGGAGUUUACGGUUUAUGAAGAUGUUCUUGGGGAGUUUACUACCUUAAACACAUGAUUUUACAACCGUAAACUCAUGUUUGUCCAUGAAUCAUGGGUUUUAGUGGUUGUAGGUUAAGCAUACAAAGUUCUAAGUCCAAUUCCAAGCCAUACAAGAUGUUAAAGGCACUUUAACACCCAUUGGAGGAGUUUAUGGUCUAAGGAGGUGUGUUUACGGUCCAAGAAUGUUCUUAAACUGUAAACUCAUGUUUGUCCCAUUUGUGUAUGUUUUGGUGCAUUUCUUGAAGGAUUAUAAGGUUAUAUGCACUCAUGGAAGCUCAUGGAAUCCUUUGGAGGUGUUUAAGGGCAAUUUAACACCUUGAAAAGGUGUUUAUGGUCCAUGAAUGAGGUUUUACGGUCCAAGAAUGUUCUUGGGCCAUAAAAUCAUGUCCAUACCUCAAUUGGUGAGAUUUUGAGGUCCUAAGCUCAUGCAUGCAAGUUUCUAAGCCAUAACUAAGCACUAGAAGUGAUUUGGAAGGGCUUUGGGGCUUCAAAACCCUCUUUAGGGGUGUUCACGGUUUUGGAAGGGUUCUUAAACCUUAAACACAUGUUCUUGAGUGUUUUGGGUGAUUCAAACAUAGAUUUGCAUGAUAAGAAAGCUUAAUAACAAGCUAGGAUAGGUUACUUACCAAAUUGAAGCUUGAAAGGGGGUUUUUGGAUCAAACUCGAGUUUUUAGAGAGAGAGUAGUGUGAGAAAUUGUUUUAAGAGAGAGAAAAAGCUUCAAAAUGAUGUCAGUCAAUCCCUUAUAUAGGGGCUGAGUUUAUGGUCCGGAGAAAUUCUACCCGAUACCGACGUUAAACGGAGCUUUUGGUCGUACCCGAUUAAUUUGCCGUAACUGAACGUGGUCGUAACUAAUAAUUUUCUAAAUAAUAAUUUGGGAUGUUUUCAUGAGUUACUAACGUGUUUGGAUACCAAUUAAGUCAUAAUAGAAGUCUCAAAAAUAAUGACUUAAUUUAAAAGCUUAAACGGAAACAAUUUGAAAAAGAUAAAUUUUAUGGACGGAAACGGGUUACGGCGAUGGAGCAAACUUCGGGUUGUCACAUUAUCCCCCCGUUAGAGGGAAUUUCGUCCCAAAAUUCAAACUUUAGAUAUGACUCAAGGAUUUGGAAAGAGAUACAGAUACUUCUGUUUCAUUGGAUCUUCACGCUCUCAAGUGAAUUUGGAUCCUUUACUUAUCGGGAUACGGCUUUGUUUCGUACGUUUAAAUCUCUAUGAUUUCGAUUGGUUCUACCAUGAGGCUCAGGCUUUCGUUGAUUUCGGUCUCAUCAAGGGAUUACUAGGGUUUCAUCGGGUAGGCACUUCUUAAGGACAGAGACGUGGAAUACCGGAUGAAUGCUGCUAAGUUCUGAGGGUAGUCGGAGUUUGUAGGCUACGGAUCGAUCCUAAUGAGAAUUUGGAAAAGUUCUAUGUACUUCGGGUUAAGUUUUACGCUUUUCAAAAUGUAUCAUGCCUUCUUCGCUUAUUACGUGACCAAAGAAAAUGGUUAGACUGAAGCGCAUCACUACAUCCUCGUAGUGACCAUAUCGAAUCCUGAAUGUUGUUUUGGAACAUCACUCUUGUGAACUCGAAGCUGACUGGGUAACUUCUGCAUCUCUGCUGGAGCCUAUCGAUGCAGAGAUUUGGCUAUAGGGUUUGCUCCGGGAAUUGGGUCGAUGCAAAAGUCUACUUGGCGUCCGAAGGGAAUUCCCGUGAGCUCUUCGGAAAAGACAUCAGGAAAAAUUUGUAGACUUCGGGGAUGCUCUCAAGGUCUUUAACUUCCUGUUUCUCGUUGAUCACAUAGGCUGGGAACUAAGUUUACCGCUAAUGCUCUCUUUCUCACCGUUAGCUAUCUCGACAGUAAACGUUUCAGUUACUAGUUGAGGACUAUGUUUAUGAAGAUGUUCGAAUGCAUAGCUAACAGAUUAUCUUUUCAGUACUAGAAUUGAAAAGGAUUGCAAGCAUAAGGGUUGUCGAAGAGGAAUAUACCUGUGGCAACGGUGGGAUUGGCGGCCGCCUCACCUUUUCCUAUAGCUAGGACUCUUACAGUGUUGCCUGUUGUUGCUGUCUUGGGGAAGUUUCUCUUAUAAUGCCCGACUUCGCUGCAACCGUAGCAGGCCUGAUACCUGCUCCGGAGACUUGAUUGGUUGAUGUUCUGCAACUUCGCGCAAGGUGACCCUCAUGGCCACAAUUUUUGUAAAAUUUCACACGACAGGGACCGGGGAUGCGGUGGUGGUAACUGCAUCGGUUACACCACGGGAAAAUACCGGCAUAUCCGGUGAUAGGUGCUUGGGUUGAGGAACCGACGACAGAAACAACAACAGGGGUAGUGGCAGCGUGGACUGCCACUAUCUGCUGUUUCUUCGAGAACUCCUGUGAAGGCUGACUUUUCUCCUUCGUCUCCUAAAAUUUUCUUUUCUCACCACUUCUCUCUUUCGGCUCAGGAGUGGUGGCUGCUUCCUCUUUGUCCUCACUAUGGUCAAUCAAGAUUUGCGCUAAGCAUUUGGCGUUGUCGUAUGUAUCCGGCUUUGCAGCUAAAACGUUCCCUUUGGUUGGAUGAGUCAACCCCUAGAUGAACCUCUCAAUCUUCUGACUCUCCGGGGUAACCAUUCCCGGACAGAGUAAUGCCAAGUCAUCGAAUCUAGAUGUGUAAGUGCCGAUAUCGGAACCCUUCAUCUUUAGGUUCCAGAGUUCAUGCUCCAGCUUCUGCAUUUCGCCCCAAGGGCAGUACUCCGCGAACAGAAGUUCCUUCAUGACUUCCCAACCCAUAGCAUUGGCUACAGGUAGGGUUAAGGAUUUGACUCGGCCGUUCCACCAAGUCAGAGAUUUAUCGGUGAACGUGCAGGCGGCGAAUUUCACCUUGUCGGAUUCUGAACAAGCACAGAUCUCGAAGAUAGAUUCGAUUUUAUCUAACCACCGAGUUAGGGCAAUGACACCUCCUGUGCCAUCGAAGAAUGUGGGUUUCGCAUUCAUAAAGUCCUUAUAGGAACACUCCUUCUGGUGUCCCUGGCUACCUUCCUGAAUUUGGGGCUGGGGACCACCUCCUUGCCCACCUAAGCCACUAAGGUUCAUUUGCGAUAGGGUAGCAGCCACGGCAGCAUUGACAGCUGCUUAAAAUAUGACGGGAUCGAAUUGAGGAGGAGGUGGUGACGGAGGAGGAUUGUUGUUCUUUGAAAUAGGUCUCUUUCUUGGAGGCAUCUUGAUCUAAAAAGAUCAGGAAAGAGAGGAUGGUAAGUCCUCUGAAUUGAAUUAAGAGAUAUGGAAUAGGGGAUAUCUCAUUAAGACAGAUAUAGAAUUCUAUUAAGCGAUAAGGCAGGAAAGAGCUAUCAAAGCAACUAAACUAUCGCUAAAGGGAUGAUUGAGGAGCAAUGAUGGAAUGAGGAUUUCUAUAACGGAUUUGGCUCGAGAAAUACUCCCAUAGUAUUUCAUGAUUCACUAUGACGACGGCUUGUUUUUUGGGUAUUAGGUAAGUUUUAGGCAUGUCGCAUACCGCAGUCACUCCCAAGCACAUGUUGGUCGUGUCUCGAAUGAAUAUAGUCGGCCAUGCUAUAUUGAUCCUAGACACGACUACAUAACUGCCCAGGUUUAACCAUAGCGUAGAACACCCAUUUACUUAUGUUUUGUUCUACUUGUAGUUAUGGAUUUCGACGGUUAGGUAUACUUGUAUACUUUCGAAAAUACUUAUAUUUUAUGGUAUACUUUAAGUUCAGAGCACUUAGGCCCUAGUGUUUAUAGUCUUAUACCAUGUAAGGUUUGGUAUACUAGUUCACUAUAAACAAGGGCUCUGAUACCAAUCUGUCACACCCCGAAACCUAAGGCGAAAACAUUCCGGGGUGGAGGACAUCAUGUAUAUCGCAACCAGUGUACAUAGUAAGCAUAGUAAACACAAAACAAUACAUUACAUAGAUUUAUUACAUUUGUUUGAAAUCAAAGUGUUACAAGUGUCAUAUAUAUAUAUCAUAUGAACAAAAGCAAAGACGAGUCUUCCAAANAUAUAUAUAUAUAUAUAUAUAUAGAUAUCAUAUGAACAAAAGUUAAGACGAGUCUGAUAAGCGCUCCGUCUUCUCCAAAAGAUCGCGGGUACCUGUCUAAUAUGGACCUGAUGAGUUCAUAAGAGGUUUGUUUUCUGAAAAUGUACAUGUUUCCUUUGUUUUUUAGAAAAGUUUGUUAUCCAAGAAGAUUCCAUAUUUUCUUAUAAGUAUAGUUGAGUUAUCCGUUUAUUAUACGAUCCGGUUAUGUACAGUUUGUUAUCCCAGGAAAAACCCUUAUUUUCCUAAAAGUAAAGUUCAGUUAUUGAAUCCAAAUGUAAUUUAUAAGUAUCUAACAUACUUGUUGUAUUAGCUAGGUAUUCUGAUGUCCUAGUUAUCCUACACUCGAAUGUAUCCAAAGGCAUGCUUUCGUAUUCGUAUUCCUAUUCCUAAUCGUAUUCUUAUUCGUAUUCGUAUUCGUAUUCGUAUUCGUAUUCGUAUCCGUAUUCGUAUAAGUAUUCGUAUUCGUAUUCCUAUUCCUAUUCGUAUUUCUAUUCGUAUUCGUAUUCGUAUUAUUCCUAGCUGUAAUUUUGUGAUAUUAUCUGUUCCUAACUGUACUUUCGUAUUCACUCUGUUUCUAACUGUGUGUUACUAUCCCUUCACUCUCGUAUCUACGGGGAGUGGUAAAGUUCUAAGUUUAAUGUUAUUAGUCCUGCACUCUCGUAUCUACGGGAAGUGAUAAAGUUCUUAGUUUAAUGUUAUUAUUCCUUCACUCUCGUAUCUACGCGGAGUUAUAUCAAGAACAUUUUAAUGCUUUAAGAUUCAUGCUUUUAACAACAAUUAUAUGGAAAUUCAUUUGUGAAAUAUAAAAUAUAACAUUUUAAAAACGAGCUUCACAAAUAACAUGACGGUUUACUCUGCAAGUUGAACGAUUGGUUAAUAUAGUUUUCCGUGUUAAAAGCAUACGAAAUAUGAAAUAGAUCAAAUAAAAUCAUAAGUUUGAGUACAAGAUUUCCUUUUACUUUUGCUUGUAUUCCCCCCCCCCUCCCUGAAAACAUUGAAAAACAUUGAAAAGGGUAGAGGUAUGAACUCACCGGACGAGGAAUGUGUCGGCUAGGAUGCUAAAUGUCAGUUCGGGGCCGACUUGCAAAAGCACAAGAUUCCUAUGUAAUAUGAAGAGAUACAUAAAAUGUAUCUAAUUAGGCCUUGAUAUACUACUUUAAAAUGAAAAAACAUUCUGAGGUGCGAAAACACUUCAAUUCAAGUGUUUGGAGUGACCCGGGUGGCAUCUAAGGGUGUGUAGGGCCUAAUUAUGGAGUUUAGUCUUCAAGAAUAAGCCCUUAAGGGAGUUUACGGUCCAAUGAUCAUAUCCCCACGAUUUUACGGCCGUAAACUCAUGGGUGGUGUGUUCUUGGAUGCCAAAUGGUCUUACAAUGCACAUGGGAAGGUCCUAGGGUUGAUUCCAUGGCUUAGGAAGUGAACGGGACUUGAAAUGACCUUCGAUAAGGAGUUUACGGUUUAAGAAGAUGUUCUUGGGGAGUUUACUACCUUAAACACAUAAGUUUACAACCAUAAACUCAUGUUUGUCCAUGAAUCAUGGGUUUUAGUGGUUGUAGGUUAAGCAUACAAAGUUCUAAGUCCAAUUCCAAGCCAUACAAGGUGUUAAAGGCACUUUAACACCCAUUGGAGGAGUUUAUGGUCUAAGGAGGUGUUUUUACGGUCCAAGAAUGUUCUUGGACCGUAAACUCAAGUUUGCCCCAUUUGUGUAUGUUUUGGUGCAUUUCUUGAAGGAUUAUAAGGUUCUAUGCACUCAUGGAAGCUCAUGGAAGCCUUUGGAGGUGUUUAAGGACAAUUUAACACCUUAAAAAGGUGUUUAUGGUCCAUGAAUGAGGGUUUACAGUCCAAGAAUGUUCUUGGUCCGUAAAGUCAUGUCCAUACCUCAAUUGGUGAGAUUUUGGGGUCCUAAGCUCAUGCAUGCAAGUUUCUAAGCCAUAACUAAGCACUAGAAGUGAUUUGGAAGGGUUUUGGGGCUUCAAAACCCUCUUUAGGGGUGUUCAUGGUUUUGGAAGGGUUCUUAAACCUUAAACACGUGCUCUUGCGUGUUUUGGGUGAUUUAAACAUAGAUUUGCAUGAUAAGAAAGCUUAAUAACAAGCUAGGAUAGGUUACUUACCAAAUUGAAGCUUGAAAGGGGGUUUUUGGAUCAAACUCGAGUUUUUAGAGAGAGAGUAGUGAGAGAAAGUGUUUUAAGAGAGAGAAAAAGCUUCAAAAUGAUGUCACUCAAUCCCUUAUAUAGGGGUUGAGUUUAUGGCCCGGAGAAAUUCUACGCGAUACUGACGUUAAACGGAGCAUUUGGUCGUACCCGAUUAAUUUCCCGUAACUGAACGUGGUCGUAACUAAUAAUUUUCUAAAUAAUAAUUUGGGAUGUUUUGAUGAGUUUCUAACGUGUUUGGAUACCAAUUAAGUCAUAAUAGAAGUCUAAAAAAUAAUGACUUAAUUUAAAAACUUAAACGGAAAUAAUUCGAAAAAGAUAAAUUUUAUGGACAGAAACGGGUUACGGCGAUGGAGCAAACUUCAGGUUGUCACAGUAGGUGCACGACAUGUUGCGAGUCCCCUAAAUCCAAUAGGAGAGUUACGCAGAUCGGAGACGUUCGGACCUCGUGUUUCAGGAGGUGGAUUUGGUGCUUUUAAAGAUGUCACCUUAGAAAGGUGUCAUCCAAUUUUAAAAGUCGGGAAGCUGGCAGCAAAUUUAUUGGUCCCUUCUGGAUUUCUUCCCUGGUAAGAAAUGUUGCAUUUUUGUCUGGAUUUUCCUGAUGAGCUCAGUCGGAUCUACAAAACCUUCCAUGUGUCUCAGCUUCGAAAGUGUGUCGCCGAUUAGCUCAAAGUUGUUCCUUUGGAUUACAUUCAGGUUGAUGAUCGUCUGAAUUAUGUGAAGCGAUCGGUGACAAUCUAGGAUUUGAAGACGAACCCUUUUUGCAACAAAGGAGUAUCACUACAUAAGGUCCAGUGGCAUCAUCAGAAGGAUUUCGAAUGGAAGUGGGAGCCUGAGGCGGCGAUGCAAGAGCACUACCCUAAUUUAUUUGCAACAACAGACUUUGAGGACGAAGUCCAAUUCAAGUGGGGGAGAGUUGGAACAUCUUGACUUCCAAGUAUUUUAAAAUUUUACACUUGAUUUGAGUUUGGUUUUAAAACUUAGUCCCAAGCGGUCUUUUCGUAAUUUUUGCGUAGGACUCUCGUACGUUGGGCGUACGUGGCGAGGGUGCAAACCCUAAAUUUUAAGGUUUGGACCCUAUUUAAGCAUCAUUAUAUCCCCACACCUUCAUUUAUCUUAAGCCUCCAUCCCUAUCUCGAAACCGUAAAGUAAGUGAGUGAGUUUUGAAGCGAGAUGAGCCUUUUCAGUGCCAUUCUAGUGCUCUUAGUGGUGAAGGAGGAACCUAGAAGUUGUGGUGUUUCACUCAAGGCUUUGGAUCCUACAACUACUUUGUCUUGUACAUCUUUUGGAGGUAUAAAGCUACCACUUGAUGAAUAUUUCAUUAAGAUGUAUUUUAGUUUAAAGUUAGCACCUUUUUGUACCAAAUCUUGAUUCUUAUGAGUAUGGAGUACUCCAGGAUGUUUGAGUUGUCAUUUCAGAUGUUAUAGGGUGUGUUAAGUCAUAAAAAUAUGAUCUUGGACAUUAGUUCCUUCACAUGCAUGAUCUAGAUUGUCUUAAUGGGUCAAGAGACUAGGGUCUUUGGUAAUACGGUCUUAUUAGCUAUGAAAAACUAUAAUGUUGGAAACUUUAUGGUUCUGAACACUUGUUAGGGUCUUGAUCUACUUUUUGGACGUAAGUUGGGCAUAGAAACGGGUAGACUGCAAGUUCGCGGUAAGCCCUUUGACAUUUGGUCAAGCAAGUUGUAUUACACAUUUCUAGAAUAUUAAGUUAUUCAAAAUUCUCGGUCGUACUUUUGGAAGUAAGUAGUGAUUUAAGAUUAUAACAGAGCAUUGGUAGAUUGUCCAUGGUGAUGCAUAAAGAAAAUUUUGGAACUGAUGCUCAUGAGUACUUUAAAUGGAGAUUUUUAGGUAUUAGAGUAACCCACACUUAGAGAUUACCUCAUAGAUUAUAUUACAAGUAAUUCUAAGAUGGUAAUAUCAUAUAUACGUCAAAUGGAGCUGCUUGGGAUUCUCUCCUACAAUCUUUUUUGUUUUGGUUUCCCCUAAACAUUGUUCGUAAAUGGAAAUCAUAAUGGGUUUGACUAGAUAUGACAUGAGCAAUAAGCAGAAUCUUUGUAGUCGAAGUUUGUUUGUUCGUUUUUCCCCUAAAAAAUAAAAAUAGAUAUCAUUGUUCCUCUCGAUGAUUUGGUGUUGACAUUAAAAAACAUGGUCGUGCUCAGACUGAAUCGACGGAUCAAUUAUGCAGUUUUCUUUUGAUUGAUAGAAGUUAGUAUCGGGAAACAAAAUCUUGAACAUUUGAGAUUGAAUAUAUCAAUGUCUCAUUUUCAUAUACAUAUCUCGAAGAAUAAAGGAACAUUUGAUUACUUAUCUAAGGGAUAUAUCACAAUCAUGUGUUUGUUUUGAGUAUGGAAAAUAUAUUUGACUAGAUCCUCUCUACUCAUUACUACUAUAUAUUAGACCAUAUAGUCUUGGUGAUUUGUGCAAGUUGAGGUCUUAGAAAAUGGUGCCUAGAGUUACAACACAGUGACAACAAUUAGUACAAGUGGAUUGAUAUGUAAGUUAUUAGUACAUAAUGUUAUAAGAUGCAAGUUUGGGUAUACACAUAACCAUUAUUACCCUUUGAGGGAUGACUCACCUGAUAAUAAAAAGAAAAUAUAAAAAGACAAGUUUAGUUUUAUGUAAAACCCAUUAAAAAGUUGUUAUAAACAUGUAGUAGUGGUAAUAUAUCUUAAAAACUAUGUAUAAAAUGAAUAUAUAAAAAAGAAAUUGAAUUAGUAAAAAAAAAUCUAUUUCUUAAAUAAAUUUCUAAAAAAAACCAGUUUCUUAAAAAUGUAAGAACAAACUUGUAGAAACAAGUUGUGGCAAAUUUGUAAACAAAGUUACGGCCAAAGUAAUAUUGAAAAUAAAAACAUUGGCAAUCUUGUAAAGAAAUGGCAACCUCUAAACUUACAAACCUGCAAUAACGAGUCAUUGUGACAAAGAAGAAAUAAAACAUGGCUUUUCUUACUUCUACAAAUAAUAAAAUGUUAACAUGUAACUUAUAUGUAUUUAAAAUAUUUGGUAACCCAUUUAGUUUUGGUAUUAGCCAUUUAUUAUGUUUUGCAAGCAUAUGAUUGCAAACAUCGUACACGCAUAUAGAGGCUCACACGCACACAGUCACAUUCAAAUCGGGAUGGGGGAACAACAAGAAAUAAUGAUAACUGGAUUCUACAACAAACGAAAACCUUCAAAAUCCUUAAUUCAUAGCUAUCAUUUGUAGUUUAAAACUCAUGGAUUUUAGUAAUUGCUGCUCCAGAAAUGCAUUUACAAAAUUUCAUUAAAGCCAAUCACCUACUAAGAAACACGUGCGUGAAGCAUAAAUCAUUGAGAAAGAUUGCUAACCAACUGCAACUGCAUAUGCUAAUGUACAUAAAAGAUCACAUGAUGAAACGUUUACCAGCAAUAGCAAUGUGUGAGACUCUACUAUUUUGGUGUCAAGUAGCCCUUGGAGUUCCCCCAAACACUUCAGUAGGAAAUCAUUAAUAAAGCAUCCCAAUGAAGUGUUCGGAGGAUCUUUGAGGGACACUUGGCUUUUACUUCAUCCGUAUUUGCUUGAAGUUGAUUGCUUUGUUUCGAAAAUAAACAUUCCAGAAUUACUUGGUAUAUAUAGAGAGAGAGGGAGUAGAGGUUAUUUUCUAAUCGAUGAACAUGGAUACAUUAGCAGCAUGAACAUGGUUGCCAUCGUGUCUGUAUUAGGAGAUAUAUUUUCCCAUAAUCCCAAUUUUCACAUAAAGGGAAAUAUAUGAGAGUGACGAGUUAUGCUGAGGACCAGGUGAACAUGGGUAUCAUAUUCUCAUUUGAUCAUCUAUCCCAUAUACAUGACCACAUUCAAUCUCUGACCUACAAUAUAUAACAUAUUAGCAUAAGAUUUGAUAAUGGGAAAGAGAUGUAUAUUGAUUAUUCAUUCAAAACUAGAAUUGAAUCGAAUAUACCAUGACUGCAAUAUCAUGUAAAGAAAUGAUGCAUGCUGAUUUAUAUAUAAGGUUACAGACACGGCAAGAGGCAGGACAUGCAAAAUUCUGCUCUAAUUGAACUUUUUGUGAAAGAUUUCCUAUUGCAGGUCCACUAGUCUGAUUCUCUUCUUACUCUCAUAAGCUCCCUCGAUUGUAACCCCACUAUCUGUUUCAAGUUUCAACCAUUACCCUCCAAUUAUGUUCAAAUGUGUAUAAACUAUAAAAGGCGUUGAAAGAUUCUCACAUCCACAUAUUCACCCUACACCUAUCACCAUAUAUUUGGAAGACUGCAUCUGAUUGUGCACCUGCCUUUUCUUCUGAUUUUUAUUCGUGUGUAUUCUGCACCCUGUAAUUUACCAGCUAGCUUCCAAUCUUUUUGUGUUUAUAAAUCUGCGGUUCUAGAAAAAAGUUGUAGAGAGAAUGAAGAGCAACUUACCAAGUAA